Molecule: non-coding RNA, 81 nt
Filed under: Pseudo-nitzschia fraudulenta
Lineage: Eukaryota; Bacillariophyta; Bacillariophyceae; Bacillariales; Bacillariaceae
Source: RNAcentral
AAGAAGAGAGGACAAGAGCAAAUAGAACUCCUGCGAUUCCUUCCACCAUGGCUCAAAACAAAACUUCCGAGGAGUAUGGCA